ACGCUAGCUACAGGCUUAACACAUGCAAGUCGAGGGGCAGCAUUUCAGUUUGCUUGCAAACUGGAGAUGGCGACCGGCGCACGGGUGAGUAACACGUAUCCAACCUGCCGAUAACUCGGGGAUAGCCUUUCGAAAGAAAGAUUAAUACCCGAUGGUAUAAUUAGACCGCAUGGUCUUGUUAUUAAAGAAUUUCGGUUAUCGAUGGGGAUGCGUUCCAUUAGGCAGUUGGUGAGGUAACGGCUCACCAAACCUUCGAUGGAUAGGGGUUCUGAGAGGAAGGUCCCCCACAUUGGAACUGAGACACGGUCCAAACUCCUACGGGAGGCAGCAGUGAGGAAUAUUGGUCAAUGGGCGCAGGCCUGAACCAGCCAAGUAGCGUGAAGGAUGACUGCCCUAUGGGUUGUAAACUUCUUUUAUAUGGGAAUAAAGUUCUCCACGUGUGGAAUUUUGUAUGUACCAUAUGAAUAAGGAUCGGCUAACUCCGUGCCAGCAGCCGCGGUAAUACGGAGGAUCCGAGCGUUAUCCGGAUUUAUUGGGUUUAAAGGGAGCGUAGGUGGACAGUUAAGUCAGUUGUGAAAGUUUGCGGCUCAACCGUAAAAUUGCAGUUGAUACUGGCUGUCUUGAGUACAGUAGAGGUGGGCGGAAUUCGUGGUGUAGCGGUGAAAUGCUUAGAUAUCACGAAGAACUCCGAUUGCGAAGGCAGCUCACUGGACUGCAACUGACACUGAUGCUCGAAAGUGUGGGUAUCAAACAGGAUUAGAUACCCUGGUAGUCCACACAGUAAACGAUGAAUACUCGCUGUUUGCGAUAUACAGUAAGCGGCCAAGCGAAAGCAUUAAGUAUUCCACCUGGGGAGUACGCCGGCAACGGUGAAA
This 875-nucleotide ribosomal RNA is filed under the name uncultured organism. RNAcentral describes it as "SSU rRNA". It matches the Rfam family "Bacterial small subunit ribosomal RNA", at positions 33 to 899 of the family's 1533-position model. The record is from RNAcentral.